Molecule: ribosomal RNA, 253 nt
Filed under: uncultured microorganism
Description: partial 16S ribosomal RNA
Rfam family: Bacterial small subunit ribosomal RNA
Source: RNAcentral
UACGUAGGUGGCAAGCGUUAUCCGGAAUUAUUGGGCGUAAAGCGCGCGCAGGUGGUUUCUUAAGUCUGAUGUGAAAGCCCACGGCUCAACCGUGGAGGGUCAUUGGAAACUGGGAGACUUGAGUGCAGAAGAGGAAAGUGGAAUUCCAUGUGUAGCGGUGAAAUGCGUAGAUAUAUGGAGGAACACCGGUGGCGAAAGCGGCUCUCUGGACUGUAACUGACACUGAGGCUCGAAAGCGUGGGUAGCAAACAGG